Long non-coding RNA from Dreissena polymorpha, 1365 nucleotides. RefSeq lists it as uncharacterized. The record is from RefSeq and is a predicted model, not a curated record. Lineage: Eukaryota; Metazoa; Mollusca; Bivalvia; Myida; Dreissenidae. The transcript has 3 exons.
CUGAUGUUGCUCUAUUGUCAGGUAGAGAGACAUGCACAUAUUGAUGUUGCUCUAUUGUCAGGUAGAGAGACAUGCACAUAUUGAUUUUGCUCUAUUGUCAGGUAGUGAGACAUGCACAUAUUGAUGUUGCUCUAUUGUCAGGUAUUGAGACAUGCACAUAUUGAUGUUGCUCUAUUGUCAGGUAGAGAGACAUGCACAUAUUGAUGUUGCUGUAUUGCCAAGUAGUGACACCUGCACAUAUUGUUGUUGCUGUAUUGCCAGGUAGUGAGACAUGCACAUAUUGAUGUUGCUGUAUUGUCAGGUAGAGAGACAUGCACAUAUUGAUGUUGCUGUAUUGCCAGGUAUUGAGACAUGCACAUAUUGAUGUUGCUCCAGUGUCAGUUAGAGAGACAUGCACAAAUUGAUGUUGCUGUAUUGCCAGGUAUUGAGACAUGCACAUAUUGAUGUCGCUCUAUUGUCAGGUAGAGAGACAUGCACAUAUUGAUGUUGCUGUAUUGUCAGGUAGAGAGACAUGCACAUAUUGAUGUUUCUCUAUUGCCAGGUAGUGAGAUAUGCACAUAUUGAUGUUGCUCUAUUGCCCGGUAGUGAGACAUGCACAUAUUGAUGUUGCUGUAUUACCAGGUAGUGCCACCUGCUCACAUUGAUGUUGCUGUAUUGCCAGGUAGUGACACCUGCGCAUAUUGAUGUUGCUGUUUUACCAGGUAGUGAGACAUGCACAUAUUGAUGUUGCUGUAUUACCAGGUAGUGAGACAUGCACAUAUUGAUGUUGCUGUAUUGCUAAGUAGUGAGACAUGCACAUAUUGAUGUUGCUCUAUUGCCAGGUAGUGAGACAUGCACAUAUUGAUGUUGCUCUAUUGCCAGGUAGUGAGACAUGCACAUAUUGAUGUUGCUGUAUUGCCAGGUAGUGAGACAUGCACAUAUUGAUGUUGCUGUAUUGCCAGGUAGUGAGACAUGCACAUAUUUAUGUUGCUGUAUUGCCAGGUAGUGAGACAUGCACAUAUUGAUGUUGUUCUAUUGCCAGGUAGUGACACCUGCUCAUAUUGAUGUUGCUCUAUUGCCAGGUAGUGAGACAUGCACAUAUUGAUGUUGCUCUAUUGCCAGGUAGUGACACCUGCUCAUAUUGAUGUUGCUGUAUUGCCAGGUAGUGAGACAUGCACAUAUUGAUGUUGCUCUACUGCUAGGUAGUGAGACAUGCACAUAUUGAUGUUGCUGUUUUGCCAGGUAGUGAGACAUGCACAUGUUGAUGUUGCUGUAUUGUGAGGUAGUGAGACAUGCACAUAUUUAUGUUGCUGUAUUGCCAGGUAGUGAGACAUGCACAUAUUGAUGUUGCUCUAUUGCCAGGUAGUGACACCUGCUCAUAUUGAU